This 509-nucleotide unclassified non-coding RNA is filed under the name Hevea brasiliensis (rubber tree). The record is from RNAcentral. Lineage: Eukaryota; Viridiplantae; Streptophyta; Magnoliopsida; Malpighiales; Euphorbiaceae.
GAAUGGAAUUCUUAAGUCCAUUUCUCCAUACAGUGGACACUACCGGCCAUCAGAAGAUAGGUUUGAUAGCUUUUUAUCCUUUCUCCAGGAUAAUGGCGUGAAGCUUGACGAGGUCCAGGUAAACAAGGUCAGUGAAGAUUCUGAUAUAUAUGACGAUGGCAAAUUCAAUGCAAGUGGGACGAUGGUUGAAGUUUCAAGCAAGUUAGAGCCUCCCAAAGCUGCUACUGUUAGUGAAGAGAAGGAUUCUACUUCCGUAGGAUCAACAGUUGGACAAACUGAAACCAAAGGUGAAUACAAAAGGACUUUAUCUGGUGGUCUUCAAAGCCCAAGAGCCGAAGUACCAAAGACGGCUAUCUUGCACAGAAUUAAUUCUAAGAAGGCAGCAAAAUCUUAUCAACUGGGAAAUCAGCUUUCACUCAAGUGGUCAACAGGUGCAGGCCCACGAAUUGGGUGCGUUGCUGACUACCCAGUAGAAGUUAGACAACAAGCUUUGGAAUUUGUUAACCUAU